This 253-nucleotide ribosomal RNA is filed under the name uncultured bacterium. RNAcentral describes it as "partial 16S ribosomal RNA". It matches the Rfam family "Bacterial small subunit ribosomal RNA", at positions 524 to 776 of the family's 1533-position model. The record is from RNAcentral.
UACAGAGGGUGCGAGCGUUAAUCGGAAUUACUGGGCAUAAAGCGCACGUAGGUGGCGACGUAAGUCGGGUGUGAAAGCCCCGGGCUCAACCUGGGAAUUGCAUUCGAGACUGCAUUGCUGGAGUACGGAAGAGGAAGGCGGAAUUCCCGGUGUAGCGGUGAAAUGCGUAGAUAUCGGGAGGAACAUCAGUGGCGAAGGCGGCCUUCUGGUCCAGUACUGACACUCAAGUGCGAAAGCGUGGGGAGCAAACAGG